UACGUAGGGCGCAAGCGUUGUCCGGAAUUAUUGGGCGUAAAGAGCUCGUAGGCGGUUUGUCGCGUCUGCUGUGAAAUCCCGAGGCUCAACCUCGGGCUUGCAGUGGGUACGGGCAGACUAGAGUGCGGUAGGGGGAGACUGGAAUUCCUGGUGUAGCGGUGGAAUGCGCAGAUAUCAGGAGGAACACCGAUGGCGAAGGCAGGUCUCUGGGCCGCAACUGGCGCUGGAGGAGCGGAAAGCAUGGGGGAGCGAACAGGA
This 258-nucleotide ribosomal RNA is filed under the name uncultured bacterium. Its description in RNAcentral is "partial 16S ribosomal RNA". It matches the Rfam family "Bacterial small subunit ribosomal RNA", at positions 524 to 777 of the family's 1533-position model. The record is from RNAcentral.